GUGGGGAAUAUUGGACAAUGGACCAAAAGUCUGAUCCAGCAAUUCUGUGUGCACGAUGACGUUUUUCGGAAUGUAAAGUGCUUUCAGUUGGGAAGAAAAAAAUGACGGUACCAACAGAAGAAGUGACGGCUAAAUACGUGCCAGCAGCCGCGGUAAUACGUAUGUCACAAGCGUUAUCCGGAUUUAUUGGGCGUAAAGCGCGUCUAGGUGGUUAUGUAAGUCUGAUGUGAAAAUGCAGGGCUCAACUCUGUAUUGCGUUGGAAACUGCAUGACUAGAGUACUGGAGAGGUAAGCGGAACUACAAGUGUAGAGGUGAAAUUCGUAGAUAUUUGUAGGAAUGCCGAUGGGGAAGCCAGCUUACUGGACAGAUACUGACGCUAAAGCGCGAAAGCGUGGGUAGCAAACAGGAUUAGAUACCCUGGUAGUCC
RNAcentral lists this ribosomal RNA (428 nucleotides) under uncultured bacterium. RNAcentral's name for it is "partial 16S ribosomal RNA". It matches the Rfam family "Bacterial small subunit ribosomal RNA", at positions 354 to 796 of the family's 1533-position model. The record is from RNAcentral.